UACGUAGGGGGCAAGCGUUGUCCGGAAUUAUUGGGCGUAAAGCGCGCGCAGGCGGUCUCUUAAGUCUGAUGUGAAAUCCCGUGGCUUAACCACGGGCGGUCAUUGGAAACUGGGGGACUUGAGUGCAGAAGAGAAGAGCGGAAUUCCACGUGUAGCGGUGAAAUGCGUAGAGAUGUGGAGGAACACCAGUGGCGAAGGCGGCUCUUUGGUCUGUAACUGACGCUGAGGCGCGAAAGCGUGGGGAGCGAACAGG
This 253-nucleotide ribosomal RNA is filed under the name uncultured bacterium. RNAcentral's name for it is "partial 16S ribosomal RNA". It matches the Rfam family "Bacterial small subunit ribosomal RNA", at positions 524 to 776 of the family's 1533-position model. The record is from RNAcentral.